This is a non-coding RNA of Pogona vitticeps (central bearded dragon), 312 nucleotides long. Lineage: Eukaryota; Metazoa; Chordata; Lepidosauria; Squamata; Agamidae. The record is from RefSeq and is a predicted model, not a curated record.
AUCCAUGGCAAGGCAGCACAUUCUGGUCUCUUAAUGCAGACUGUGCAUUGUGGAAAGCAUGUUUAACACUGAUGUUGAAUAUUGUUAACUGACCUCCUGGUACGCAGAAUUAUCAGAGUCCCAGAAGUAAUGUUUCCAAAUGCAGUUGCGGAAGACAGGAAUCGAUCCAAGCAGCAGCACUAUUAAAGGCUACCUCCCACCCACCCCUGCAUGCCAAGGCUCCCAAAGACUUACCCACAGCAAAAAGGAGCUUGAGGGAGCCUCAGAAUAUGAAAGCAAAGGUCUAUGAAGCUUUUCAUUAAAUGAAAUAUU